Molecule: transfer RNA, 74 nt
Filed under: Pseudambassis lala (highfin glassy perchlet)
Lineage: Eukaryota; Metazoa; Chordata; Actinopteri; Ambassidae
Description: tRNA-Thr
Rfam family: tRNA
About the family: Transfer RNA (tRNA) molecules are approximately 80 nucleotides in length.
Source: RNAcentral
GCAUUAGUAGCUCAGCGUUUAGAGCGUCGGCCUUGUAAGCCGAACGUCGAAGGUUAAAUUCCUUCCUACUGCUC